This 558-nucleotide ribosomal RNA is filed under the name uncultured bacterium. RNAcentral describes it as "bacterial SSU rRNA". It matches the Rfam family "Bacterial small subunit ribosomal RNA", at positions 368 to 917 of the family's 1533-position model. The record is from RNAcentral.
AAGAUGCGCGCAGCCUGAUCCAGCCAUGCCGCGUGUGUGAAGAAGGCCUUUUGGUUGUAAAGCACUUUAAGCGAGGAGGAGGCUACUUGGAUUAAUACUCUAGGAUAGUGGACGUUACUCGCAAAAUAAGCACCGGCUAACUCUGUGCCAGCAGCCGCGGUAAUACAGAGGGUGCGAGCGUUAAUCGGAUUUACUGGGCGUAAAGCGUGCGUAGGCGGCUUUUUAAGUCGGAUGUGAAAUCCCUGAGCUUAACUUAGGAAUUGCAUUCGAUACUGGGAAGCUAGAGUAUGGGAGAGGAUGGUAGAAUUCCAGGUGUAGCGGUGAAAUGCGUAAAGAUCUGGAGGAAUACCGAUGGCGAAGGCAGCCAUCUGGCCUAAUACUGACGCUGAGGUACGAAAGCAUGGGGAGCAAACAGGAUUAGAUACCCUGGUAGUCCAUGCCGUAAACGAUGUCUACUAGCCGUUGGGGCCUUUGAGGCUUUAGUGGCGCAGCUAACGCGAUAAGUAGACCGCCUGGGGAGUACGGUCGCAAGACUAAAACUCAAAUGAAAUUGACGGA